ACGGAAGGUCCAGGCGUUAUCCGGAUUUAUUGGGUUUAAAGGGAGCGCAGGCGGACUCUUAAGUCAGUUGUGAAAUACGGCGGCUCAACCGUCGGACUGCAGUUGAUACUGGGAGUCUUGAGUGCACACAGGGAUGCUGGAAUUCAUGGUGUAGCGGUGAAAUGCUCAGAUAUCAUGAAGAACUCCGAUCGCGAAGGCAGGUAUCCGGGGUGCAACUGACGCUGAGGCUCGAAAGUGCGGGUAUCAAACAGGAUUAGAUACCCUGGUAGUCCGCACAGUAAACGAUGAAUACUCGCGGUUGGCGAUAUACUGUCAGCCGCCAAGCGAAAGCGUUAAGUAUUCCACCUGGGGAGUACGCCGGCAACGGU
This 368-nucleotide ribosomal RNA is filed under the name uncultured bacterium. Its description in RNAcentral is "bacterial SSU rRNA". It matches the Rfam family "Bacterial small subunit ribosomal RNA", at positions 525 to 895 of the family's 1533-position model. The record is from RNAcentral.